CAUUGUACACGAUGAGAACAGGUUCGUUACAGGUCUGAUCCCCUCGUGCUUCGCCGUCUUCGUGCUGCUAGUCCCGCUGCUGCUGCCGCCGCUGCACUGGAAGCUCCACUCCUCGUCUGAAGCAUAGCACGGUGUGCUUUUCUUAUAGGAAAAAUCUUACUCUUAGAACCUCUUCAGUUCGGUCUGAAGAAGGUAAGCUGUCAGCUUACAGCGUGAUAGUGUCUAGUAGCCUCAGAAUUCUGUCCCGAAUCUAAAAGCAUUGUAGGCUGGGUAUAGACAUGUUUCUUGGACAAGCUUUUUUUUAUUAUUUAAAAUCAGCACCAGACAUUGCUAUGUGCUUUCUGCAGUUAUAUAUGCAGGAAGUAUUAUUAUAUAAAAACAUGGUGGAAGUAUGAAG
This 397-nucleotide small RNA is filed under the name Oryza sativa Japonica Group (Japanese rice). Its description in RNAcentral is "sRNA Os06g0628150". The record is from RNAcentral. Lineage: Eukaryota; Viridiplantae; Streptophyta; Magnoliopsida; Poales; Poaceae.